This 21-nucleotide small RNA is filed under the name Arabidopsis thaliana (thale cress). Lineage: Eukaryota; Viridiplantae; Streptophyta; Magnoliopsida; Brassicales; Brassicaceae. The record is from RNAcentral.
UAAGCUAGAACUGCUCCUUCU